UGUGCCAGCAGCCGCGGUAAUACGGAGGGUGCAAGCGUUAAUCGGAAUUACUGGGCGUAAAGCGCACGCAGGCGGUUGGAUAAGUUAGAUGUGAAAGCCCCGGGCUCAACCUGGGAAUUGCAUUUAAAACUGCCCAGCUAGAGUCUUGUAGAGGGGGGUAGAAUUCCAGGUGUAGCGGUGAAAUGCGUAGAGAUCUGGAGGAAUACCGGUGGCGAAGGCGGCCCCCUGGACAAAGACUGACGCUCAGGUGCGAAAGCGUGGGGAGCAAACAGGAUUAGAAACCCCGGUAGUCCA
This 294-nucleotide ribosomal RNA is filed under the name uncultured Aeromonas sp. Its description in RNAcentral is "partial 16S ribosomal RNA". It matches the Rfam family "Bacterial small subunit ribosomal RNA", at positions 504 to 797 of the family's 1533-position model. The record is from RNAcentral. Lineage: Bacteria; Pseudomonadati; Pseudomonadota; Gammaproteobacteria; Aeromonadales; Aeromonadaceae.